GCCAAUGUGGCGUAGUGGUUUGAGUGUUGGACUAUGACUCUGGAGACUAGGGUUUGAACUCCGGCUCAGUCA
Non-coding RNA from Phrynosoma platyrhinos (Desert horned lizard), 72 nucleotides. Lineage: Eukaryota; Metazoa; Chordata; Lepidosauria; Squamata; Phrynosomatidae. The record is from the annotation of a GenBank genome assembly.